This 429-nucleotide ribosomal RNA is filed under the name Gemmatimonadota bacterium. RNAcentral's name for it is "Gemmatimonadetes bacterium partial 16S ribosomal RNA". It matches the Rfam family "Bacterial small subunit ribosomal RNA", at positions 355 to 776 of the family's 1533-position model. Lineage: Bacteria; Pseudomonadati; Gemmatimonadota. The record is from RNAcentral.
UAGGGAAUCUUCGGCAAUGGACGAAAGUCUGACCGAGCAACGCCGCGUGAGUGAAGAAGGUUUUCGGAUCGUAAAACUCUGUUGUUAGAGAAGAACAAGGACGUUAGUAACUGAACGUCCCCUGACGGUAUCUAACCAGAAAGCCACGGCUAACUACGUGCCAGCAGCCGCGGUAAUACGUAGGUGGCAAGCGUUGUCCGGAUUUAUUGGGCGUAAAGCGAGCGCAGGCGGUUUCUUAAGUCUGAUGUGAAAGCCCCCGGCUCAACCGGGGAGGGUCAUUGGAAAAUGGGAGACUUGAGUGCAGAAGAGGAGAGUGGAAUUCCAUGUGUAGAGGUGAAAUGCGUAGAUAUAUGGAGGAACACGAGUGGCGAAGACGGCUCACUGGUCUGAAAAUGAAGCUGAGGCUCGAAAGCGUGGGGAGCAAACAGG